GAUAAAUAUGUCAUUUCAAAGAAAUAAUUAAUCUGGAAUAUAUUGAAGGCAUGAAAAAUUGAGAUAGGAAAGUUAUUCAUUAAUUAAUUCAACAAGUAAUUAUUAUGUGUAUUUCUGGGCAUUGAACUACAGUGCCAGUCCAGUUGAAGAGAUGGAAAAGGAAGUGCCAGAAGGAAAAAUGGACUUUGCAGAUAUCAAGAUGAUCAAACAGACAAUACUAUACGACCAAAUGGAUACGGAGUCAAGAAAGGAGGGGAGUCAAAGGCGACUCUGAAGUUCCUAAUGAAUGGGAGGAAUAGUGUUAAGAAAAUUAAAAGACGGAGACAAUUUCAGGGACAUGAUGAAUUCAGUUAAAAAUACAUCCAACUUGAAGUAUAGGGAAGAGAAAUACUCAGGUUCUUUCUCUACAGAAGAUACCUAAAUGGUAAGUGUGGUACUGAACUGAUAAACUGAAGUUGCUAAAGUGGUUAGUAAAUGAAAGGAAGGAGAAGCAAAGGAAAGUCUUAGCCUCCAACUCUGUUUCAUGCUAAACUAGCAUACUCACUUAUCAGCACACCAGAUAUAAGCCAAAUCUUUGAGGAGAGAUAUAAUUCCCUUCAUGAUCUCAGAUGAGGAAGCUGAGAUUCAAAAAGGUCAAAAUCUGGCCAAAGACACAAGGCUAAAAGGAGGAUUAAAACCCUGGAUAAACCUUGACUAGAAUCUACCAAACCACAGUCUGAAGGAGUGAUUCUGAAUCAGAGAGUUUGGAUAUUGAAGUUUAAUAACCAACAUAAAAAGAUGCAAUUUUGGUUUGAAUAAAGACAUUUGGCUGAAGACAACAAACAACUAAGGGUCUGCUCAAGAAUCUUUGCAGUUAAUUUCUAGAGGAAAAAAAAAAAAAAAAAAAAAAAAAAAACCAGGGUCUAUACUUACUUUGCCAUUCAUGGUUUUCCCAUCUCUGCCAUACAUCAACUGCAAAUUUAGGAAUGGUUUUGAAGGCUACAUCAAAGUAGUCUUAAUUUAAAGAUAGAUUGAUUGGUCUGGCUCCUUGGCUUAUUUACAGGGUUCUACUGUUAUCUGAUGAAGUAAGGUU
This 1072-nucleotide long non-coding RNA is filed under the name Macaca mulatta (Rhesus monkey). Its description in RNAcentral is "lncRNA (ENSMMUG00000064994.1)". Lineage: Eukaryota; Metazoa; Chordata; Mammalia; Primates; Cercopithecidae. The record is from RNAcentral.